RNAcentral lists this ribosomal RNA (2438 nucleotides) under Salmonella enterica subsp. enterica serovar 4,[5],12:i:-. Its description in RNAcentral is "partial 23S ribosomal RNA". It matches the Rfam family "Bacterial large subunit ribosomal RNA", at positions 596 to 2925 of the family's 2925-position model. Lineage: Bacteria; Pseudomonadati; Pseudomonadota; Gammaproteobacteria; Enterobacterales; Enterobacteriaceae. The record is from RNAcentral.
ACUGCGUACCUUUUGUAUAAUGGGUCAGCGACUUAUAUUCUGUAGCAAGGUUAACCGAAUAGGGGAGCCGGAGGGAAACCGAGUCUUAAUUGGGCGUUAAGUUGCAGGGUAUAGACCCGAAACCCGGUGAUCUAGCCAUGGGCAGGUUGAAGGUUGGGUAACACUAACUGGAGGACCGAACCGACUAAUGUUGAAAAAUUAGCGGAUGACCUGUGGCUGGGGGUGAAAGGCCAAUCAAACCGGGAGAUAGCUGGUUCUCCCCGAAAGCUAUUUAGGUAGCGCCUCGUGAAUUCAUCUCCGGGGGUAGAGCACUGUUUCGGCUAGGGGGCCAUCCCGGCUUACCAACCCGAUGCAAACUGCGAAUACCGGAGAAUGUUAUCACGGGAGACACACGGCGGGUGCUAACGUCCGUCGUGAAGAGGGAAACAACCCAGACCGCCAGCUAAGGUCCCAAAGUCAUGGUUAAGUGGGAAACGAUGUGGGAAGGCCCAGACAGCCAGGAUGUUGGCUUAGAAGCAGCCAUCAUUUAAAGAAAGCGUAAUAGCUCACUGGUCGAGUCGGCCUGCGCGGAAGAUGUAACGGGGCUAAACCAUGCACCGAAGCUGCGGCAGCGAACGUAUCACCCAAGACAACUUUACGGAGUUGACGAUUGACGGAGCGAAGCGACGUCAAAGCGUUCAUUAAAGUCGAGUUGGCUUAGGGAUACGUUCGUUGGGUAGGGGAGCGUUCUGUAAGCCUGUGAAGGUGUGUCGUGAGGCAUGCUGGAGGUAUCAGAAGUGCGAAUGCUGACAUAAGUAACGAUAAAGCGGGUGAAAAGCCCGCUCGCCGGAAGACCAAGGGUUCCUGUCCAACGUUAAUCGGGGCAGGGUGAGUCGACCCCUAAGGCGAGGCCGAAAGGCGUAGUCGAUGGGAAACGGGUUAAUAUUCCCGUACUUGGUGUUACUGCGAAGGGGGGACGGAGAAGGCUAUGUUGGCCGGGCGACGGUUGUCCCGGUUUAAGCGUGUAGGUGUGUGUUCCAGGUAAAUCCGGUUCACUUUAACACUGAGGCGUGACGACGAGGCACUACGGUGCUGAAGCAACAAAUGCCCUGCUUCCAGGAAAAGCCUCUAAGCAUCAGGUAACACGAAAUCGUACCCCAAACCGACACAGGUGGUCAGGUAGAGAAUACCAAGGCGCUUGAGAGAACUCGGGUGAAGGAACUAGGCAAAAUGGUGCCGUAACUUCGGGAGAAGGCACGCUGACACGUAGGUGAAGUGAUUUACUCAUGGAGCUGAAGUCAGUCGAAGAUACCAGCUGGCUGCAACUGUUUAUUAAAAACACAGCACUGUGCAAACACGAAAGUGGACGUAUACGGUGUGACGCCUGCCCGGUGCCGGAAGGUUAAUUGAUGGGGUCAGCGCAAGCGAAGCUCCUGAUCGAAGCCCCGGUAAACGGCGGCCGUAACUAUAACGGUCCUAAGGUAGCGAAAUUCCUUGUCGGGUAAGUUCCGACCUGCACGAAUGGCGUAAUGAUGGCCAGGCUGUCUCCACCCGAGACUCAGUGAAAUUGAACUCGCUGUGAAGAUGCAGUGUACCCGCGGCAAGACGGAAAGACCCCGUGAACCUUUACUAUAGCUUGACACUGAACAUUGAGCCUUGAUGUGUAGGAUAGGUGGGAGGCUUUGAAGUGUGGACGCCAGUCUGCAUGGAGCCGACCUUGAAAUACCACCCUUUAAUGUUUGAUGUUCUAACGUGGACCCGUAAUCCGGGUUGCGGACAGUGUCUGGUGGGUAGUUUGACUGGGGCGGUCUCCUCCUAAAGAGUAACGGAGGAGCACGAAGGUUGGCUAAUCCUGGUCGGACAUCAGGAGGUUAGUGCAAUGGCAUAAGCCAGCUUGACUGCGAGCGUGACGGCGCGAGCAGGUGCGAAAGCAGGUCAUAGUGAUCCGGUGGUUCUGAAUGGAAGGGCCAUCGCUCAACGGAUAAAAGGUACUCCGGGGAUAACAGGCUGAUACCGCCCAAGAGUUCAUAUCGACGGCGGUGUUUGGCACCUCGAUGUCGGCUCAUCACAUCCUGGGGCUGAAGUAGGUCCCAAGGGUAUGGCUGUUCGCCAUUUAAAGUGGUACGCGAGCUGGGUUUAGAACGUCGUGAGACAGUUCGGUCCCUAUCUGCCGUGGGCGCUGGAGAACUGAGGGGGGCUGCUCCUAGUACGAGAGGACCGGAGUGGACGCAUCACUGGUGUUCGGGUUGUCAUGCCAAUGGCACUGCCCGGUAGCUAAAUGCGGAAGAGAUAAGUGCUGAAAGCAUCUAAGCACGAAACUUGCCCCGAGAUGAGUUCUCCCUGAGACUUAGAGUCUCCUGAAGGAACGUUGAAGACGACGACGUUGAUAGGCCGGGUGUGUAAGCGCAGCGAUGCGUUGAGCUAACCGGUACUAAUGAACCGUGAGGCUUAACCUUACA